RNAcentral lists this unclassified non-coding RNA (1432 nucleotides) under Arabidopsis thaliana (thale cress). The record is from RNAcentral. Lineage: Eukaryota; Viridiplantae; Streptophyta; Magnoliopsida; Brassicales; Brassicaceae.
UCUGUUAGAUGUUUACUGGUAUUACUCACAAUCUAUAAUAUGUAUAAUUUAUUGUGUGGUACUUUGUUACAUAAUUCUCGUGACAUCUUAUUUUCUCCAGUACUAGUGUAUUACCAUCAAAGAAAUGACAUGAGUUUGUUUCUUGAUGCAGAACGUUUGUGGUGUUUAUGAAUCUCUCCGUUUGGAUGAAAACCGAGUAAACAACCUAUGCACUGAUUUUUAUAUAACGUUUGGGAAAUAUUUGAACUUAUUUGAUCUUUAUUUUUUAAGGUAAAAUACUAAAGAUUUUAGAGAUAAGAUGUUAGCUGUUAGAGAAGCUUUUUGGACACGAGACGACCACUUGAUAUUCCCUCGGCACUUCCUUUUAAGGACUAAAAGGAAAAAAUGCGAGCCAACAAUCAAUCUCGCAUUAGAGUAGACUCUGGAGAAUUCUGAAUUCGUCGUAAGUUUCUUUCUUCACAUAAUUUUUUCUAGUUUUAUCUAUUGUUCCAUGUGUUCAGUUAGACAAUUAGGGUCCUGAUUACUCUGCUUAUAUAUAGUUUACUGCUAACAGCAUUGUUUUGCUUUCAAGAAAGAGGGUUUUUUAUGCAGAGAAACAUAACUUCAAGAAGAGAUUUAUCUGCCAAUGAGAAAAUGAAAGGUCAGAUUUGUUUUUGCAGAAGCUAAAUUUUAACGGAUUAUCCAAAUUAUAUUCAAAUCAUCCAAGGAAUAAUGCGGUUCCAAUAAAAUCAUAAACUCAGCACAAGAACAACAGUUUCAGUGGGAAAAAAGCCUCUCUGCCUUUAUCUGUUUUCUUUUGGACUUUACGAAGGAGAAAGCUUGGAACUAUUAAGUUCCUACACUGAAGAAAGUGGAGAAACGGGCAUGGGUCAUGUUCCCAUAUUCUUGGAACAAGGAAAGUAAUCAUUAGCGUUGACUUUUCGUAUCGCCUACAAAAACUUGGGCUUUUCUAAUUUGUAGGCCCGAGAAAGACAACCUAAUUUUCCACUUACGUGACAUAUAAGUUUACAAGUGAUCUCUAGGGUUUCAUAAAACAGAGGCGAUGAAGAGAGGACACGAAGAGACCUCACUAUCGUCGACACUACGACUUCUUCACUGUGGAGAUAUCCAAUUACCCCUCCAUGUUACGGUUGAAAUACUAAAAAGACUUCCGGUGAAAUCUCUUUUGAGGUUCCUAUGCGUUUCGAAGGUCAUCAACUAUUAGUAGACUUCGAGACUUCAUAGAAUCGAUUGUGAGUCGUUCUUUGGCUCAGCCUCCACGUGAUGCUUAUUUCAUCUACGGCCACACUUCAAACAAUUACAUGGAAUGUUUCUUCUUCUUUGGUUUUUGUACAACGUACGUUAGUGUCGAGAUGUGUAAGGGUUAUUUAUUGUACUAAUUAAUCAAAACGGUCUCGAGACUUAUAAUUAUAGUCAUAAGUUGAUAGUUCAU